GACCUUUUCCUCCGAAGAUUACGAUACUUCUAAAUAUGAUUUCCAUGCAAUGGAUCAAGAACUUGGAUCACUAUCAACAGGCCGUGGAAGUUCCCUUAAAUCUGCUGAGAUGAGAAGCCUUUGUUCUACAUCUUCACGCAGUUCAAGGGAAGAGGACAACCUCAAUAAAUUUGCUGCAACAAUGGAAAAGUCUGACUCUGAGCUGCCAAUGAAGGGUAAAGAAUCUCCACCACCAGCUGGUUCGCCACUGCAAGAGUACUUUGACCAUUCUAACAAAUUUCAUGCUGCCAACCGACUGGAUCAUGGAAACAGAAGUACGCGCUCAGAUGCAGAGAUGCUGAUGCAAAAAAG
RNAcentral lists this unclassified non-coding RNA (351 nucleotides) under Hevea brasiliensis (rubber tree). The record is from RNAcentral. Lineage: Eukaryota; Viridiplantae; Streptophyta; Magnoliopsida; Malpighiales; Euphorbiaceae.